RNAcentral lists this non-coding RNA (21 nucleotides) under Caenorhabditis elegans. Lineage: Eukaryota; Metazoa; Nematoda; Chromadorea; Rhabditida; Rhabditidae. The record is from RNAcentral.
UAUAUAUUCCCGCGUCAAGAA